UACGUAGGGUGCGAGCGUUAAUCGGAAUUACUGGGCGUAAAGCGUGCGCAGGCGGCCGUGCGUGUCAGGUGUGAAAGCCCGGGGCUUAACCCCGGAAUUGCGCCUGAAACUACAUGGCUAGAGCAUUGGAGAGGGUAGCGGAAUUCACGGUGUAGCAGUGAAAUGCGCAGAUAUCGUGAGGAACACCAGAGGCGAAGGCGGCUACCUGGACAAUUGCUGACGCUCAGGCACGAAAGCGUGGGGAGCAAAAGGG
RNAcentral lists this ribosomal RNA (253 nucleotides) under uncultured bacterium. Its description in RNAcentral is "partial 16S ribosomal RNA". It matches the Rfam family "Bacterial small subunit ribosomal RNA", at positions 524 to 776 of the family's 1533-position model. The record is from RNAcentral.